Molecule: long non-coding RNA, 1055 nt
Organism: Homo sapiens (human)
Lineage: Eukaryota; Metazoa; Chordata; Mammalia; Primates; Hominidae
Source: Ensembl
GGAGUCUCGCUCUGUCGCCCAGGCUGGAGUGCAGUGGCGCCAUCUCGGAUCACUGCAAGCUCCACCUCCCGGGUUCAAGCGAUUCUCCUGCCUCAGUCUCCCGAGUAGCUGGGACUACAGGCACCUGCCACCACGCCUGGCUAUUUUUUUGUAUCUUUAAUAGAGAAGGGGUUUCACUAUGUUGGCCAGGCUGGUCUCGAAUUCCUGACCUUGUCAUCCACCCACCUCGGCCUCUCAAAGUGCCGGAAUUACAGGUCCUCAAGGUACAUCGUUGGGAUCAAGCAACUUUGAUCCCAAGGAGAAGAAUAAAAACAAGAGGGACGACUGGGCCAAGGUGCCAUGUGAAGUGACCUGUGAGGAUCAACCCAGUGAAGAUGCUUGAGGAAGACAUGCUAGAGCAAAAACUACAACUCUGGUCCUCUUGGAUAUUUUAGAUAAGGACUUUACCCACAUAAAGAAGGUGUUGCCCUGGGGACUGGCUGAGAGAAAUUACAGUUGUUGUCUCUCUUGCUUAAAGACUCUGGCUGUUUAUCUCAGAGCACGUACAGAAAUUGAAAUGUACAAAAGUGGAAGUUAUUAAAUAGAGACCACACAAGAUACCCACUCUAAUUGAAUGAAGGCCUUUUCAUGACAUCAAUUCAGCUGCAGUAUCUUCAGUUCUUACAGUGGGGAAGCCAGAAUCUCUAGACAUGGGAAGAAGGGCUUAUGAGUUGUGUUCUGACUGUUACUCACUUCAAAAGAAACGGACUGCUACAGUGGUACUUACGUCACCAGAAAGAAACACUUCCACAAAGAAUUUGAUUUGAUGGCAUCAUGUGGACAUAGAACUCUCAUAGUAAUGACCCAACCUGUGUUUCCAGUCAUCCUGAUGAACUCUCAACAAAAUCAGAUUGUUAUACUGUUGUUCUCACUUUACACCGAUAUUUUCUCUUGCUCCUAAAAAAAGUAUCUGGUAUUAAAUAGAAUUCUGUAUCUUAAAAAACUUGCCAUUGAGAAAAAUGAGAAGUAACUGUACAUUUUAAUACUGAAGGUUUUAAUAAAAAAAGCAGUGUGAA